UACGUAGGGUGCAAGCGUUGUCCGGAAUUAUUGGGCGUAAAGAGCUCGUAGGCGGUCUGUCGCGUCGGGAGUGAAAACCUGGGGCUUAACCCCGGGCCUGCUUUCGAUACGGGCAGACUAGAGUUCGGCAGGGGAGACUGGAAUUCCUGGUGUAGCGGUGAAAUGCGCAGAUAUCAGGAGGAACACCGGUGGCGAAGGCGGGUCUCUGGGCCGAUACUGACGCUGAGGAGCGAAAGCGUGGGGAGCGAACAGG
RNAcentral lists this ribosomal RNA (253 nucleotides) under uncultured bacterium. RNAcentral's name for it is "partial 16S ribosomal RNA". It matches the Rfam family "Bacterial small subunit ribosomal RNA", at positions 524 to 776 of the family's 1533-position model. The record is from RNAcentral.